Molecule: ribosomal RNA, 579 nt
Filed under: uncultured bacterium
Lineage: Bacteria
Description: bacterial SSU rRNA
Rfam family: Bacterial small subunit ribosomal RNA
Source: RNAcentral
CCUACGGGAGGCAGCAGUAAGGAAUAUUGGUCAAUGGACGAAAGUCUGAACCAGCCACGCCGCGUGAAGGAUUAAGGCCCUCUGGGUUGUAAACUUCUUUUAUCUGGGACGAAAAAAGGGUAUUCUUACUCACUUGACGGUACCAGAGGAAUAAGCACCGGCUAACUCCGUGCCAGCAGCCGCGGUAAUACGGAGGGUGCAAGCGUUAUCCGGAUUUACUGGGUUUAAAGGGUGCGUAGGUGGGCUUGUAAGUCAGUGGUGAAAUCUCCGGGCUUAACCCGGAAACUGCCAUUGAUACUAUAGGUCUUGAAUUAUCUGGAGGUAAGCGGAAUAUGUCAUGUAGCGGUGAAAUGCUUAGAUAUGACAUAGAACACCAAUUGCGAAGGCAGCUUACUACGGAUAUAUUGACACUGAGGCACGAAAGCGUGGGGAUCAAACAGGAUUAGAUACCCUGUAGUCCACGCCCUAAACCGAUGGAUACUCGACAUCAGCGAUACACUGUUGGUGUCUGAGCGAAAGCAUUAAGUAUCCACCUGGGAAGUACGAUCGCAAGAAUUGAAACUUAAAUUGAAUUGACGG